RNAcentral lists this ribosomal RNA (495 nucleotides) under uncultured bacterium. RNAcentral describes it as "partial 16S ribosomal RNA". It matches the Rfam family "Bacterial small subunit ribosomal RNA", at positions 29 to 523 of the family's 1533-position model. The record is from RNAcentral.
AGCGAACGCUGGCGGCGUGCUUAACACAUGCAAGUCGAGCGAAGCACUUAAGUUUGAUUCUACGGAUGAAGACUUUUGUGACUGAGCGGCGGACGGGGGAGUAACGCGUGGGUAACCUGCCUCAUACAGGGGGAUAACAGUUAGAAAUGACUGCUAAUACCGCAUAAGACCACAGUACCGCAUGGUACAGUGGUAAAAACUCCGGUGGUAUGAGAUGGACCCGCGUCUGAUUAGGUAGUUGGUGGGGUAACGGCCUACCAAGCCGACGAUCAGUAGCCGACCUGAGAGGGUGACCGGCCACAUUGGGACUGAGACACGGCCCAGACUCCUACGGGAGGCAGCAGUGGGGAAUAUUGCACAAUGGAGGAAACUCUGAUGCAGCGACGCCGCGUGAAGGAUGAAGUAUUUCGGUAUGUAAACUUCUAUCAGCAGGGAAGAAAAUGACGGUACCUGACUAAGAAGCCCCGGCUAACUACGUGCCAGCCGCCGCAGUAA